GGAGAGUUGUCCGAGUGGCCGAUGGAGGCGGUCUUGAAAACCGUUGUGCCGAAAGGCACCGGGGGUUCGAAUCCCUCACUCUCCG
Non-coding RNA from Spirochaetes bacterium RBG_16_49_21, 85 nucleotides. The record is from Rfam. NCBI's taxonomy places the organism in Bacteria, Pseudomonadati, Spirochaetota.